This 253-nucleotide ribosomal RNA is filed under the name uncultured bacterium. Its description in RNAcentral is "partial 16S ribosomal RNA". It matches the Rfam family "Bacterial small subunit ribosomal RNA", at positions 524 to 776 of the family's 1533-position model. The record is from RNAcentral.
UACGUAGGGUGCAAGCGUUGUCCGGAAUUAUUGGGCGUAAAGAGCUCGUAGGCGGUUUGUCGCGUCGAAUGUGAAAUCCCGGGGCUCAACCCCGGGUCUGCAUUCGAUACGGGCAGACUAGAGUUCGGUAGGGGAGUCUGGAAUUCCUGGUGUAGCGGUGAAAUGCGCAGAUAUCAGGAGGAACACCGGUGGCGAAGGCGGGACUCUGGGCCGAUACUGACGCUGAGGAGCGAAAGCGUGGGGAGCGAACAGG